RNAcentral lists this ribosomal RNA (585 nucleotides) under Aphyonus gelatinosus. RNAcentral describes it as "partial 16S ribosomal RNA". It matches the Rfam family "Bacterial large subunit ribosomal RNA", at positions 1808 to 2606 of the family's 2925-position model. The record is from RNAcentral. Lineage: Eukaryota; Metazoa; Chordata; Actinopteri; Ophidiiformes; Ophidiidae.
CAAAAACAUCGCCUCUUGCAAACGAAGAAUAAGAGGUCCCGCCUGCCCUGUGACAAUACGUUUAACGGCCGCGGUAUUUUGACCGUGCGAAGGUAGCGCAAUCACUUGUCUCUUAAAUGGAGACCUGUAUGAAUGGCACAACGAGGGCUUAACUGUCUCCUUUUCCCAGUCAAUGAAAUUGAUCUUCCCGUGCAGAAGCGGGAAUCAGAACAUAAGACGAGAAGACCCUAUGGAGCUUCAGACACCAAGCGAUCAUGUUUAAAGACCCUUACAAAGGAGAGAACUAGAUGACCCCGCCCUAAUGUCUUUGGUUGGGGCGACCGCGGGGCAACAUAAAACCCCCAUGUGGAAUGGGAAAACCUCCCCAGAACCAAGAGCAACGGCUCUAAGCAACAGAACAUCUGACCAUCAAGAUCCGGCAAAGCCGAUCAACGGACCGAGUUACCCUAGGGAUAACAGCGCAAUCCCCUUCUAGAGCCCAUAUCGACAAGGGGGUUUACGACCUCGAUGUUGGAUCAGGACAUCCUAAUGGUGCAGCCGCUAUUAAGGGUUCGUUUGUUCAACGAUUAAAGUCCUACGUGAUCU